GACGAACGCUGGCGGCGUGCUUAACACAUGCAAGUCGAACGAUGAAGCCCAGCUUGCUGGGUGGAUUAGUGGCGAACGGGUGAGUAACACGUGAGCAACGUGCCCGAAACUCUGGAAUAACUACCGGAAACGGUGGCUAAUACUGGAUAUGUGCCAGGGAGGCAUCUCCUCUGGUUGGAAAGAUUUUUCGGUUUCGGAUCGGCUCACGGCCUAUCAGCUUGUUGGUGGGGUAAUGGCCUACCAAGGCGACGACGGGUAGCCGGCCUGAGAGGGUGACCGGCCACACUGGGACUGAGACACGGCCCAGACUCCUACGGGGGCAGCAGUGGGGAAUAUUGCACAAUGGGCGCAAGCCUGAUGCAGCAACGCCGCGUGAGGGAUGACGGCCUUCGGGUUGUAAACCUCUUUUAGUAGGGAAGAAGCGCAAGUGACGGUACCUGCAGAAAAAGCACCGGCUAACUACGUG
RNAcentral lists this ribosomal RNA (466 nucleotides) under uncultured bacterium. RNAcentral's name for it is "partial 16S ribosomal RNA". It matches the Rfam family "Bacterial small subunit ribosomal RNA", at positions 28 to 507 of the family's 1533-position model. The record is from RNAcentral.